AUCUUACCGAGUGAGGGCCCUCUGGGUCCAACCUCCCACCCGUGUCUAUUUACCUUGUUGCUUCGGCGGGCCCGCCUUAACUGGCCGCCGGGGGGCUUAGCCCCCGGGCCCGCGCCCGCCGAAGACACCCUCGAACUCUGUCUGAAGAUUGAAGUCUGAGUGAAAAUAUAAAUUAUUUAAAACUUUCAACAACGGAUCUCUUGGUUCCGGCAUCGAUGAAGAACGCAGCGAAAUGCGAUACGUAAUGUGAAUUGCAAAUUCAGUGAAUCAUCGAGUCUUUGAACGCACAUUGCGCCCCCUGGUAUUCCGGGGGGCAUGCCUGUCCGAGCGUCAUUGCUGCCCUCAAGCCCGGCUUGUGUGUUGGGCCCCGUCCCCCGAUUCCGCGGGACGGGCCCGAAAGGCAGCGGCGGCACCGCGUCCGGUCCUCGAGCGUAUGGGGCUUUGUCACCCGCUCUGUAGGCCCGGCCGGCGCCUGCCGAUCAACCCAAAUUUUUAUCCAGGUUGACCUCGGAUCAGGU
Molecule: ribosomal RNA, 518 nt
Filed under: Penicillium osmophilum
Lineage: Eukaryota; Fungi; Ascomycota; Eurotiomycetes; Eurotiales; Aspergillaceae
Description: eukaryotic LSU rRNA
Rfam family: 5.8S ribosomal RNA (bases 181-333)
Source: RNAcentral